GGAGAGGUGGCAGAGUCCGGUUGAAUGCGGCGGUCUUGAAAAUCGUUGUGGGGUUAAACUCACCGGGGGUUCGAAUCCCUCCCUCUCCGCCA
RNAcentral lists this transfer RNA (92 nucleotides) under Candidatus Omnitrophota bacterium. RNAcentral's name for it is "tRNA-Ser". It matches the Rfam family "tRNA". Rfam says of the family: Transfer RNA (tRNA) molecules are approximately 80 nucleotides in length. Their secondary structure includes four short double-helical elements and three loops (D, anti-codon, and T loops). Further hydrogen bonds mediate the characteristic L-shaped molecular structure. tRNAs have two regions of fundamental functional importance: the anti-codon, which is responsible for specific mRNA codon recognition, and the 3' end, to which the tRNAs corresponding amino acid is attached (by aminoacyl-tRNA synthetases). tRNAs cope with the degeneracy of the genetic code in two manners: having more than one tRNA (with a specific anti-codon) for a particular amino acid; and 'wobble' base-pairing, i.e. permitting non-standard base-pairing at the 3rd anti-codon position. The record is from RNAcentral. Lineage: Bacteria; Pseudomonadati; Candidatus Omnitrophota.